This is a long non-coding RNA of Syngnathus acus (greater pipefish), 326 nucleotides long. RefSeq lists it as uncharacterized. The transcript has 2 exons. The record is from RefSeq and is a predicted model, not a curated record. Lineage: Eukaryota; Metazoa; Chordata; Actinopteri; Syngnathiformes; Syngnathidae.
UUUUUUCUUUGUUUUAUUUGGGGAGGAUUUUCAUAGAAAAUGCUUCGUAAAAGUUGAUUCGUAAAAAAACUGAUGGAUGAAAUGGAAUAUAAGAUUUCUGUCCAGAAUAAUGGACAAGUGUUUUGCCACAUUUUGAUGAAAAGAUGGCAUCCAUGAGUGUUGACCAACAGGGGGCGACGCCUCGUGUUUGCUACCUUGAUGCAGAAGGCUUUUUUGGCCAGCCAGCGUCGAGUGGCCCUCCUGUAGUACUCGGGCGGGAAGGUGUAGGUGAUGCCCAGCUGCUCGCACACAUUCUCAAAGGCGUCGUAGCGCUCCAGCCGCAGGUU